RNAcentral lists this ribosomal RNA (460 nucleotides) under uncultured bacterium. Its description in RNAcentral is "partial 16S ribosomal RNA". It matches the Rfam family "Bacterial small subunit ribosomal RNA", at positions 338 to 795 of the family's 1533-position model. The record is from RNAcentral.
CCUACGGGAGGCAGCAGUGAGGAAUAUUGGUCAAUGGGCUUACGCCUGAACCAGCCAAGUCGCGUGAGGGAAGACUGCCCUAUGGGUUGUAAACCUCUUUUGUCAGGGAGCAACGCCGGCUACGUGUAGCCGGACUGAGAGUACCUGAAGAAAAAGCAUCGGCAAACCCCGUGCCAGGGCCCGCGGUAAUAGGGAGGAUGCGACGUUUAUCCGGAUUUAUUGGGUUUAAAGGGUGCGUGGGCGGAAUGCCAAGUCAGCGGUAAGAUCGCGGGGCUCAACCUCGCUCCGCCGUUGAAACUGGCGUUCUUGAGUGGGCGAGAAGUAUGCGGAAUGCGUGGUGUAGCGGUGAAAUGCAUAGAUAUCACGCAGAACUCCGAUUGCGAAGGCAGCAUGCCGGCGCCCAACUGACGCUGAAGCACGAAAGCGUGGGUAUCGAACAGGAUUAGAUACCCUAGUAGUC